GUGGGAGCUGAGCUUGCUCGCGAUGGCGGUGGGUCAGCUUGCAUUGAUGUUGGGUGCAAGACCGUCAUCGCGAGCAAGCUCAGCUCCCAC
RNAcentral lists this unclassified non-coding RNA (90 nucleotides) under Pseudomonas kilonensis. Lineage: Bacteria; Pseudomonadati; Pseudomonadota; Gammaproteobacteria; Pseudomonadales; Pseudomonadaceae. The record is from RNAcentral.